This 509-nucleotide ribosomal RNA is filed under the name uncultured bacterium. RNAcentral's name for it is "bacterial SSU rRNA". It matches the Rfam family "Bacterial small subunit ribosomal RNA", at positions 36 to 518 of the family's 1533-position model. The record is from RNAcentral.
CUGGCGGCGUGCCUAAUACAUGCAAGUCGAACGGCUUUUCUAUGGAAGCUUGCUUCCACUGAGAAGAUAGUGGCGAACGGGUGAGUAACACGUGGGUAACCUGCCCAUAAGAGGGGGAUAACAUCCGGAAACGGGUGCUAAUACCGCAUAGUUUUCUUGAUCGCAUGAUCGGGAAAGGAAAGACGGCCUUUGUGCUGUCGCUUAUGGAUGGACCCGCGGCGUAUUAGUUAGUUGGUGAGGUAACGGCUCACCAAGACGAUGAUACGUAGCCGACCUGAGAGGGUGAUCGGCCACAUUGGGACUGAGACACGGCCCAAACUCCUACGGGAGGCAGCAGUAGGGAAUCUUCCGCAAUGGACGAAAGUCUGACGGAGCAACGCCGCGUGAGUGAAAGAAGGUUUUCGGAUCGUAAAACUCUGUUGUCAGAGAAGAACAAGUUGGAGAGUAACUGCUCCAGCCUUGACGGUAUCUGACCAGAAAGCCACGGCUAACUACGUGCCAGCCGCCGC